UACGUAGGUGGCAAGCGUUGUCCGGAUUUACUGGGCGUAAAGAGCGCGCAGGCGGUCGUAUGAGUCGCGUGUGAAAGCCCCCGGCUCAACUGGGGAGGGUCACGCGAUACUGUUCGACUCGAAGGCAGGAGAGGGAAGCGGAAUUCCCGGUGUAGUGGUGAAAUGCGUAGAUAUCGGGAGGAACACCAGUGGCGAAGGCGGCUUCCUGGCCUGUUCUUGACGCUGAGGCGCGAAAGCUAGGGUAGCAAACGGG
Molecule: ribosomal RNA, 253 nt
Filed under: uncultured bacterium
Lineage: Bacteria
Description: partial 16S ribosomal RNA
Rfam family: Bacterial small subunit ribosomal RNA
Source: RNAcentral